RNAcentral lists this microRNA precursor (178 nucleotides) under Oryza brachyantha (malo sina). RNAcentral describes it as "MIR812 microRNA precursor family". It matches the Rfam family "MIR812 microRNA precursor family". The record is from Rfam by way of RNAcentral. Lineage: Eukaryota; Viridiplantae; Streptophyta; Magnoliopsida; Poales; Poaceae.
AAUAAGUCAAUUUUUUAGUUUUUAAAUACAACGUUUGACUCUUGUCUUAUUUAAAACUUUUUAUGAUUAAUAUUUUUAUCGUUAUUAGAUGAUAAAAUAUGGAUAUUACUUUAUGUGUGACUAAUUUUUUAAUAAAUUUUUUAAAUGAGACCAAUGAUCAAAUGUUGGACACAUAAAU